GACGAACGCUGGCGGCGUGCUUAACACAUGCAAGUCGAACGGAAAGGCCCUGCUUUUGUGGGGUGCUCGAGUGGCGAACGGGUGAGUAACACGUGAGUAACCUGCCCUUGACUUUGGGAUAACUUCAGGAAACUGGGGCUAAUACCGGAUAGGAGCUCCUGCUGCAUGGUGGGGGUUGGAAAGUUUCGGCGGUUGGGGAUGGACUCGCGGCUUAUCAGCUUGUUGGUGGGGUAGUGGCUUACCAAGGCUUUGACGGGUAGCCGGCCUGAGAGGGUGACCGGCCACAUUGGGACUGAGAUACGGCCCAGACUCCUACGGGAGACAGCAGUGGGGAAUAUUGCACAAUGGGCGGAAGCCUGAUGCAGCAACGCCGCGUGCGGGAUGACGGCCUUCGGGUUGUAAACCGCAUUCGCCUGUGACGAAGCGUGAGUGACGGUAAUGGGUAAAGAAGCACCGGCUAACUACGUG
Molecule: ribosomal RNA, 468 nt
Filed under: uncultured bacterium
Lineage: Bacteria
Description: partial 16S ribosomal RNA
Rfam family: Bacterial small subunit ribosomal RNA
Source: RNAcentral